Molecule: long non-coding RNA, 248 nt
Filed under: Paramuricea clavata
Lineage: Eukaryota; Metazoa; Cnidaria; Anthozoa; Malacalcyonacea; Plexauridae
Source: RNAcentral
ACUUGUCCAUACAAUAUAAUAUCAGUAUAUCUUACAAAAGUCCUCCCGGCAUGUCCAAAGUUAUUUUCAUCUAUAUAUAAGAAACGUAUGUGAACCUCAAUCAAAAGAAAUCAUAGACCAAUUUCAUAUCUCCGUCUGCGCAGGUCGGAACCACUUAAAAUACAGUUAGUUCUCCGUAGUUUCUUCACAGAUCAAUGUAUACGUUUCUUUUUAUGGAAAACACCAAGUUUAUUUAGCAAAGUUUUCAA